GCCUUCUUGGUGUAGUGGUCAGCACGCUCGACUCGUAACCGAGAGGUCCGUGGUUCGAUUCCCGAGGAAGGGG
RNAcentral lists this transfer RNA (73 nucleotides) under Stegodyphus mimosarum. It matches the Rfam family "tRNA". Rfam says of the family: Transfer RNA (tRNA) molecules are approximately 80 nucleotides in length. Their secondary structure includes four short double-helical elements and three loops (D, anti-codon, and T loops). Lineage: Eukaryota; Metazoa; Arthropoda; Arachnida; Araneae; Eresidae. The record is from Rfam by way of RNAcentral.